CAAGCGGAACUAAUGUGGAGAGCCUCUAGAGACGAUCUGAGGUAAUUGGUCAUAAACCAAAAUAUUGGACCAAGUUACACUUUGAUCUGAUGAUGGUGCUUAUUGACAGGAGUCAACAGGACUAUCUUUGGACGGCUCUGAACUUGCGUACAAAAGUUCAUUAGCGCCAACUCCUCCUCCGUCAGCUCAGGCAGCCACUGCUGGUGAGAGGAUUUCACCUGC
This is a long non-coding RNA of Centropristis striata (black sea bass), 222 nucleotides long. RefSeq lists it as uncharacterized. The transcript is spliced from 3 exons. NCBI's taxonomy places the organism in Eukaryota, Metazoa, Chordata, Actinopteri, Perciformes, Serranidae. The record is from RefSeq and is a predicted model, not a curated record.